RNAcentral lists this long non-coding RNA (454 nucleotides) under Salmo salar (Atlantic salmon). RNAcentral describes it as "lncRNA (ENSSSAG00000117971.1)". The record is from RNAcentral. Lineage: Eukaryota; Metazoa; Chordata; Actinopteri; Salmoniformes; Salmonidae.
CUGUGAGGCUCCUCCUCCUCUAUGUGGCUGUGAAGCUCCUCCUCCUCUAUGUGGCUGUGAGGCUCCUCCUUCUCCUCUAUGUGGCUGUGAAGCUCCUCCUCCUCUAUGUGGCUGUGAGGCUCCUCCUCCUCCUCUAUGUGGCUGAGAGGCUCCUCCUCCUCUAUGUGGCUGUGAGGCUCCUCCUCCUCUAUGUAGCUGUGAGGCUCCUCCUCCUCCUCUAUGUCGCUGUGAGGCUCCUCCUCCUCCUCUUUGUUGCUGUGAGGCUCCUCCUCCUCUUUGUGGCUGUUAGUCUCCUCCUCCUCCUUUUUGUGGCUGUUACUCUCCUCCUCCUCUAUGUGGCUGUGAGGCUCCUCCUCCUCCUCUAUGUGGCUGUGAAGCUCCUCCUCCUCUAUGUGGCUGUGAGGCUCCUCCUCCUCUUCUAUGUGGCUGUGAAGCUCCUCCUCCUCUAUGUGGC